Molecule: ribosomal RNA, 374 nt
Filed under: uncultured organism
Description: partial 16S ribosomal RNA
Rfam family: Bacterial small subunit ribosomal RNA
Source: RNAcentral
GUAGGUGGCAAGCGUUGUCCGGAAUUAUUGGGCGUAAAGCGCGCGCAGGCGGCUCGUUUAAGUCUGAUGUGAAAGCCCACGGGCUCAACCGUGGAGGGUCAUUGGAAACUGGAGAACUUGAGUACAGAAGAGGAAAGCGGAAUUCCACGUGUAGCGGUGAAAUGCGUAGAGAUGUGGAGGAACACCAGUGGCGAAGGCGGCUUUCUGGUCUGUAACUGACGCUGAGGCGCGAAAGCGUGGGGAGCAAACAGGAUUAGAUACCCUGGUAGUCCACGCCGUAAACGAUGAGUGCUAAGUGUUAGGGGGUUUCCGCCCCUUAGUGCUGCAGCUAACGCAUUAAGCACUCCACCUAAAAAAUACGACCGCAAAGGCUG